UCCAGACUCCUACGGGAGGCAGCAGUGAGGAAUAUUGGUCAAUGGGCGGGAGCCUGAACCAGCCAUGCCGCGUGAAGGCGAGUGCCCUACGGGCGUUAAACUUCUUUUGUGCGGGAGCAAUAAGGGCCACGCGUGGCCCGAUGAGAGUACCGCACGAAUAAGCAUCGGCUAACUACGUGCCAGCAGCCGCGGUAAUACGUAGGUGGCAAGCGUUAUCCGGAUUUACUGGGUGUAAAGGGCGUGUAGGCGGGAAAGCAAGUCAGAUGUGAAAACCACGGGCUCAACCUGUGGCCUGCAUUUGAAACUGUUUUUCUUGAGUACUGGAGAGGCAGACGGAAUUCCUCGUGUAGCGGUGAAAUGCGUAGAUAUGAGGAGGAACACCAGUGGCGAAGGCGGUCUGCUGGACAGCAACUGACGCUGAGGCGCGAAAGCGUGGGGAGCAAACAGGAUUAGAUACCCCCGUA
Molecule: ribosomal RNA, 464 nt
Filed under: uncultured bacterium
Lineage: Bacteria
Description: partial 16S ribosomal RNA
Rfam family: Bacterial small subunit ribosomal RNA
Source: RNAcentral